RNAcentral lists this ribosomal RNA (468 nucleotides) under uncultured bacterium. RNAcentral's name for it is "partial 16S ribosomal RNA". It matches the Rfam family "Bacterial small subunit ribosomal RNA", at positions 28 to 507 of the family's 1533-position model. The record is from RNAcentral.
GACGAACGCUGGCGGCGUGCUUAACACAUGCAAGUCGAACGGAAAGGCCCUGCUUUUGUGGGGUGCUCGAGUGGCGAACGGGUGAGUAACACGUGAGUAACCUGCCCUUGACUUUGGGAUAACUUCAGGAAACUGGGGCUAAUACCGGAUAGGAGCUCCUGCUGCAUGGGGGGGGUUGGAAAGUUUCGGCGGUUGGGGAUGGACUCGCGGCUUAUCAGCUUGUUGGUGGGGUAGUGGCUUACUAAGGCUUUGACGGGUAGCCGGCCUGAGAGGGUGACCGGCCACAUUGGGACUGAGAUACGGACCAGACUCCUACGGGAGGCAGCAGUGGGGAAUAUUGCACAAUGGGCGGAAGCCUGAUGCAGCAACGCCGCGUGCGGGAUGACGGCCUUCGGGUUGUAAACCGCUUUCGCCUGUGACGAAGCGUGAGUGACGGUAAUGGGUAAAGAAGCACCGGCUAACUACGUG